GAAGAUGCCGGAUACCUGCGACAGGACGGAAAGACCCCAUGGAGUCUUUACUGUAGCUUAGCAUUGGAUUUAGGUAGUAUAUGUACAGGAUAGGUGGGAGGCUUUGAAAGUAGGACGCCAGUUUUGCUGGAGCCAUCCUUGGGAUACCACCCUUGUACUAUCUGGAUUCUAACCACGAUGAGUGAAUCCUCAUCUGGGACACUGCUUGGCGGGCAGUUUGACUGGGGCGGUCGCCUCCCAAAAUGUAACGGAGGCGCUCAAAGGUUCCCUCAGCACGGUCGGAAAUCGUGCGUAGAGUGUAAAGGACAAAAGGGAGCUUGAUUGCGAGACAUACAGGUCGAGCAAGGACGAAAGUCGGACUUAGUGAUCCGGUGGUACCGCGUGGAAGGGCCAUCGCUCAACGGAUAAAAGCUACCCUGGGGGAUAACAGGCUGAUCUCCCCCAAGAGUCCACAUCGACGGGGA
RNAcentral lists this ribosomal RNA (464 nucleotides) under uncultured bacterium. RNAcentral describes it as "bacterial LSU rRNA". It matches the Rfam family "Bacterial large subunit ribosomal RNA", at positions 2055 to 2514 of the family's 2925-position model. The record is from RNAcentral.